AGCAGUCGCCGCGGUAAUACGUAGGUGGCGAGCGUUGUCCGGAAUUAUUGGGCGUAAAGCGCACGUAGGCGGCUAUUCAAGUCAGGGGUGAAAGCCCGGGGCUCAACCCCGGAACUGCCUUUGAAACUAGAUAGCUUGAAUCUUGGAGAGGCGAGUGGAAUUCCGAGUGUAGAGGUGAAAUUCGUAGAUAUUCGGAAGAACACCAGUGGCGAAGGCGACUCGCUGGACAAGUAUUGACGCUGAGGUGCGAAAGCGUGGGGAGCAAACAGGAUUAGAUACCCCAGUAGUCCCUGUCUCUUAUAC
RNAcentral lists this ribosomal RNA (303 nucleotides) under uncultured bacterium. RNAcentral describes it as "partial 16S ribosomal RNA". It matches the Rfam family "Bacterial small subunit ribosomal RNA", at positions 507 to 807 of the family's 1533-position model. The record is from RNAcentral.